RNAcentral lists this ribosomal RNA (797 nucleotides) under uncultured bacterium. RNAcentral describes it as "bacterial SSU rRNA". It matches the Rfam family "Bacterial small subunit ribosomal RNA", at positions 87 to 883 of the family's 1533-position model. The record is from RNAcentral.
GAUGGCGACCGGCGCACGGGUGAGUAACACGUAUCCAACCUGCCGUCUACUCUUGGCCAGCCUUCUGAAAGGAAGAUUAAUCCAGGAUGGGAUCAUGAGUUCACAUGUCCGCAUGAUUAAAGGUAUUUUCCGGUAGACGAUGGGGAUGCGUUCCAUUAGAUAGUAGGCGGGGUAACGGCCCACCUAGUCGACGAUGGAUAGGGGUUCUGAGAGGAAGGUCCCCCACAUUGGAACUGAGACACGGUCCAAACUCCUACGGGAGGCAGCAGUGAGGAAUAUUGGUCAAUGGGCGAUGGCCUGAACCAGCCAAGUAGCGUGAAGGAUGACUGCCCUAUGGGUUGUAAACUUCUUUUAUAAAGGAAUAAAGUCGGGUAUGCAUACCCGUUUGCAUGUACUUUAUGAAUAAGGAUCGGCUAACUCCGUGCCAGCAGCCGCGGUAAUACGGAGGAUCCGAGCGUUAUCCGGAUUUAUUGGGUUUAAAGGGAGCGUAGAUGGAUGUUUAAGUCAGUUGUGAAAGUUUGCGGCUCAACCGUAAAAUUGCAGUUGAUACUGGAUGUCUUGAGUGCAGUUGAGGCAGGCGGAAUUCGUGGUGUAGCGGUGAAAUGCUUAGAUAUCACGAAGAACUCCGAUUGCGAAGGCAGCCUGCUAAGCUGCAACUGACAUUGAGGCUCGAAAGUGUGGGUAUCAAACAGGAUUAGAUACCCUGGUAGUCCACACGGUAAACGAUGAAUACUCGCUGUUUGCGAUAUACGGCAAGCGGCCAAGCGAAAGCGUUAAGUAUUCCACCUGGGGAGUAC